CAGCCUCAGAGCAAGCGACUCAACCCGCUGAAUUCAAGCAUAUUCCUCAGCGGAGAAAAAGAAACUAACAAGGAUUUCCUUAGUAGCGGCGAGCGAACAGGAAACAGCCCAUCACUGAAUCCCGCGCUUCUGCAGCCGGGAAAUGUAGUGUUCGGGAGCAUCCACAUAUCCCGAGGCGUCGGCUGGCGUCCAAGUUCAUCUUGAAUGGGGACACUUACCCGCAGAGGGUGCCAGGCCCGUAGUGAUCGGGACGUGCAAUGGGAGGGUCUCUUGUUAAAGUCGGGUUGCUCGAGAGUGCAGCUCUCAGUGGGUGUUAGACUGCAUCUAAGGCUGAAUAUGACCUCGAGACCGAUAGCGAACAAGUACCGUAAGGAAAAGUUACGAAGAACUUUAAAGAGAGAGUUCAAGAGUAUGCAAAACCGUUCAGAGGUGAACCUGAGAAACCCGAAAGAUCGAACGGGGACAUUCAUUGUCAGUGACGCAGACUUCGCCGCGGCUCGUAAUGUCGGGACCUCGCGUCCACGGCACUUGGUCGCGGUGCAAUAUCCGGCCGCGCCGGCGUGCACUUCUCCCCUAGCAGGACGCCGCAAUCCGUUGGAUGUCGUUCAAACGCCCGGUCGUCUGCCUGUCCCGGCGUUCGCGUUGGGGCAGACCCCCGGCUGCCCGACCGGCUUAGCCAGCUGUUAGCUGGCGGUGUCUUCUGGCUGGUUCGUCCGAAUUAUCGCAUACCGCUCGGCGUCGCUACUGCUCCGGGUACUUUCAGGACCGGUCUUGAAACAAAGACGAAGGAGUCUAACAUGUUCGCGAGUCAUUGGGACGAGCAAACCUGAAGGCAAAAUGAACGUAAAGGUUAGUCCAGCGCUGACCGAAGGAGGAUGGGCCGCGUCACGAUGCGGCCCCGCACUCCCGGGGUGUUUCGUCCUCACUAUAAGAAAAGGCGCACCCAGAGCGUACACGUUGCGACCCGAAAGAUGGUGAACUAUGCCUGGUCAGGACAAGGUCAGGGGAAACCCUUAUGACGUUCGUAGCGAUUCUGACGUGCAAAUAGAUCGUCGGAACUGGGUAAAGUGGCGAAAGACUAAUUGAACCAUCCAGUAGCUGGUUUUCUCUGAAGUUUCCGUCAGGAUAGCCGGCACUUGCGUACAAAACGUACCCGAGUCUCAUCCGGUAAAGCGAAUGAUUAGAGGCCUUGGGACCGAAACGACCUCUACCUUUUUUCAAACUUUGAAUAGGUGUAUCUCUGCCUUGCUCGAACUAUAAAGUCACAAGAUUCCGGAUCAGAGUGCCAAGUGAGCCACUUUUGGUGAGCAGAUCUGGCACUAUGGGAUGAACCAAACGCCGAGUUAAGCCGCCAGAGUCAACGCUUAUGGGAUAGCAUAAAAGGCGAUGGUUGCUUGUGAAAGCAGGACGGUGGCCAUGGAAGUCGGAAUCCGCUAAGGAGUGUGUAACAACUCACCUGCCGAAGUAACUCGCCCCGAAAAUGAAUAACGCCGAAACGUCACGCCUAUACUUAG
Molecule: long non-coding RNA, 1514 nt
Filed under: Neodiprion pinetum (white pine sawfly)
Lineage: Eukaryota; Metazoa; Arthropoda; Insecta; Hymenoptera; Diprionidae
Description: uncharacterized LOC124215897
Rfam family: Eukaryotic large subunit ribosomal RNA
Source: RNAcentral